RNAcentral lists this ribosomal RNA (406 nucleotides) under uncultured bacterium. RNAcentral's name for it is "bacterial SSU rRNA". It matches the Rfam family "Bacterial small subunit ribosomal RNA", at positions 355 to 776 of the family's 1533-position model. The record is from RNAcentral.
UGGGGAAUAUUGGGCAAUGGGGGAAACCCUGACCCAGCAACGCCGCGUGAGGGAAGAAGGUUUUCGGAUUGUAAACCUCUGUUCUUGGUGAAGAGAAGAAGACGGUAGCCAAGGAGGAAGCCCCGGCUAACUACGUGCCAGCAGCCGCGGUAAUACGUAGGGGGCGAGCGUUGUCCGGAAUGAUUGGGCGUAAAGGGCGCGUAGGCGGCCCUGCAAGUCAGUAGUGGAAGUCCAUUUUUCAAGGGUGGAAGUGCUAUUGAAACUGCGGGGCUUGAGUAUGGGAGAGGUCAUCGGAAUUCCCGGUGUAGCGGUGAAAUGCGUAGAGAUCGGGAGGAACACCAGUGGCGAAGGCGGGUGACUGGACCAUAACUGACGCUGAGGCGCGAAAGUGUGGGGAGCAAACAGG